CUUUGUGAAUAACAAUCUUACUAACCCUCUCUUCCUUUUUCAAGCCCAUCUCUCUCGCAUAUAGACGAAGAUGCAAAGGAACAUAGAAGAAGGUCACAAUUUACUUACAUCACGAACCUCCAGGUACUCUCUUUUUAUCACAAAAGUUUUUUUUUAAAAAAACUUCUCUAUCAUUGCUUAAGCGUCGUAAAAUUAAACUAUUUGUGACUGACGUUUUUGUGAAUAUGUUGAAAAAGCAGUUUAUCUUUGUAUUUUUGUUGAACUUCACAGAAAUUUUUUGUUGUUUUUUGCUUGGGUGUCUGUCAAUUUUGAUGCUUGUCCUAUCUCGAGCUCCAUAAGAUUUUUUCAGGCACCUAUGAUUAAUUUGGGAAAAUUCUCACUUCGAAAACGGAACUUAAUUUUCUUUGUACUUUGGAAUAAGUUUAGAGGAGGGUUUAUUGAAGCACUGUAUGAAUUUGUAGGCCAUGAAGCAUCUGCGUAGAACCGGUACUUUGGAAUAAGUUUAGAGGAGGUUGCUGAAGAAACGCAGAGGAAGAGGAAAGCUCCUGAGGAGGUGGGCAAUGGUGGGAGUGUUGGCCUUGGUAUUGAUGGCAUAAAUCCCUAAUAUGGGUGGAGGGUGGUUGUUGGAUGGGAUUGGGUGGAGAGUGGUUGUGGAAUGGGUUUUGGGGUUGGAGCUUGAGGGUGGUGGCCAUGGGGGAAUGGAGAGAGAGAGAGAGAGGGAGAGAAAGUUUUUAUUUAUUUUUUAGUAUUUAUUUAUUUUUAACGUACGAAAUGAUCAAUUUGCCCUCAUAUUUAACAGCAACAUUGACAGAAUGUAACGAUAGGACUAAUGGAG
RNAcentral lists this long non-coding RNA (835 nucleotides) under Prunus dulcis (almond). Its description in RNAcentral is "sRNA ncRNA". Lineage: Eukaryota; Viridiplantae; Streptophyta; Magnoliopsida; Rosales; Rosaceae. The record is from RNAcentral.